AUUAUUUAAAGGUAUUUCAAAAUAUUAUUUACUUCAUUCUAGUAAUUAGUGUACAGGUAAAAACUGUUCACUACAUUGUAUGUUUUUACUAUUGAUAAAUAACUGAUCGACAGGUGUAGUUGUGUCUCAGUUUUGUCAACAAGAAUAUUUGAAGAUUUAAGGUAGAUCUAUGUGUUUUUCCUACUAGAGGAUGAUAUUUUGAGGUGAAAUUGUCUACCAUUUCCUUAUUUAGGGUAUGUAUAUUGAAUUGUAAUUAUGUGCCCUUGAUUGAUAUUAUGAUUAUGUUUAGUUAAUUUUUGAUAUUUCUAAUUGAAACAUUAUUGAUUAUUCAUAAAAAAAAUGUUGUUUACUUUGAAGACUUUCUCUUGUGUUCAUAUUUUGAUUUGAGAAAUGUUAAGAAUUGUAAUAUUCAGAAGGGAGAUAAUCGUGUUCUUAUAGCUUUUAUAUAGCUUUGGAUAAAUUAAUGGUUCUGAUGUAUUUAAUUGAUAUUUGAAAAAGCAAUCUUUAUUUCAAGUUAAAUUUAAUUGAAUUUAUAUCUGCAUAUUAAUAGACUUAUGAUGUUUUGUGUUUUUCCAUUUUUUUCACAAAUAUUGAACUAUUCAGCGUUGCCAAUAAUUAAUGUUAUUUUUCGAUAUAUGUAUAAUGUGAAUAUAUGAAUACAGUACAAUAAAUUCAUGAACCUUA
Molecule: long non-coding RNA, 684 nt
Organism: Mytilus californianus (California mussel)
Lineage: Eukaryota; Metazoa; Mollusca; Bivalvia; Mytilida; Mytilidae
Exons: 2
Source: RefSeq, a predicted model, not a curated record